AUCUCCUGACCUCGUGAUCUGCCCGCCUCGGCCUCCCAAAGUGCUGGGAUUAUAGGCAUGAGCCAACGUGCCCGGCCUGUUCUCACAGUAGUUCUCUGAGGAAAAUUGUAUAUCCUUAUUUUGCCAGUGAGAAAAUUUUGGAUUAGAAACAUUAGGUAAUUUAUCAAAGAAGGUUAUGUAGCUAAUAGUAAGUGGUAGAACCAGAAUUGCUAAUCCAGGUCUGUCAGACUCCAGAAACCAUGUUCUUUCUAUCACAUUAUGCCAGAGAAGCUGGAAAUAGAUAUUUUCUUUUAAAAAAGUAAAACUUACUAGUUACAAAAACACAACAAUAAAAAAUCUGCUGGCCCGACUUAAAUGUCUUUCAAGAUGGCUACAGAGCUUCCAUUUUGCUACUUGAAAAAAACUUUGUUGAAAAAUAGCUUCUAGAUGAGUGAUUUCUUCAGUUACAUGUAAUUUUGGGAGUGGUUAUAGACAGACUAGAUGUAGUUUCUUUAUAUAAAAUAACUUGAUUUGCUUCUUUAAAAAUAUAGGUUGAAAGAGCUGAUACUCAGUUGAAAAUUUUUUUUUCCAUUUAUCUCUGUCUUUUUUUUUUUUUUUUUUUUUUUUUGUUCGUUUGUUUUUUGAGACAGGGUCUGGCUCUGUCACCUGGGCUGGAUUGCAGUGGUGCCAUCUCAGCUCACUGCAACCUCUGCCUCCCGGGCUCAAGCUAUCCUCCCACCUCAGUGCCCCCAAGUUGCUUGGACCACAGGUGCACACCACCAGGUCCGGCUAAUUUUUUGUGAUUUUUAUAGAGACGGGAUUUUGCCAUGUUGCCCAGGCUGGUGUUGAACUCCUGAGCUCAAUUGAUUUGCCCACCUGUGCCUCCCAAAGUGCUGGGAUUACAUGUGUGAGCCACUGUGCCCAGCCCUGUUUUCCUUUGAGAGACAGGGUCUUGCCCUGUCACCCAGACUAGAGAACAGUGGCACAGUAAUAGGCCACCACAGCCGUGUUGGCUGCCCAUGUAGCUAAUAUUACAGGUGCAUGCCACCAUGCCUGACUAAUUAAAAAAAAUUUUUUUUUUGGUAGAGACAGGGUCUUGUUAGGUUUCCCAGGCUGGUCUCGAACUCCUACCUUCCAUUAAUCCUCCUGCCUUGGCCUCCCAAAGGGCGGUAAUUAUAGGUGUGAGUCAUUGUCCCCAGUCUUAUUUUUCUCGCUUAACAGUAAUUUUAAGUAGUCAUCUCUCUUCACUUCAUAUCUGCUCCCCACCCCACCCCCCCUUGUUUUUGAGACAGAAUGUCACGCUGUCACUCACGCUGGAGUACAGUGCUACGAUUUCGGGUCACUGCAGCCUUGACCUCCUGGGCUCAAGUGCUCCUCCUGCCUCAGCCUCCAAUGUAGCUGGCUAAUUUUUUUUUAUACAGGCAGGGCCUCAGUUUGUUGCCCAGGCUAAACAUCAUAUGCUUUUAAAGGAACCUGCUGAAACAGCAAAGUCUCUUACCAUGAACAGUUGAUGGUUCUAGGAGCUUGGGGAAAAGGGGUGGAGUUGGGGUUUCUGUAUGUGAUGUCUUUUUUGGUUCAGAAUAAAUUUUUUUUGUGUGUGGUAAGUUACUAUAGUAAGGGUAAUUUCCCAUAAUAGGCAAUAAUAUAUACAUCUGUUUUUGUUGGAAUUAUAUUUAAACUUAAAUUUUAAAAAGUAGUGCCUGUUAGUUUAAAAACAUAGUAAUAGAUUGUAUAGCAUAGAAAAUAUAAAUACUAUAAUCCUUCAUUGCAGCCCAUCCUCUGCUCCAUAGCCUUAGUGUAAUUUUGGUGGCAAUACUUUUUCCAGUGGAUCUAUGUAUUAUGAUGCUUUUAUUUGGAAGUGACAGCCCAUCCCCUCCUCCCCAAACAAACACAACUACAAAAGUGCUGCUGGGCAUGGUGGCUCAUGCCUGUAAUCCCAGCACUUUGGGAGACUGAGGCAGGCAGAUCAUUUGAGGCCAGGAGUUUGAGACCAGCAUGGUCAACCUGGUGAGACCCCAACUCUACUAAAAAUACAAAAAUAAGCUGGACCUGGUGGCGCAUACCUGUAAUCUCAGCUACUCGGGAGGCUGAGGCACGAGAAUUGCUUGAACCACGGAGGUGGGGGUUGCAGUGAGCCGAGAUCAUGCUACUCCACUCCAGCCUGGGCAAUAGAGCGAGACUCUGUCUCAAAAAUAAAUAAAUAAAUAAAUAAAUAAAGGAAAGGAAAAAAACCCUUCAAACUGGCUUAAACAACAACAAAAAGUUUAAAGAACUUUAACCUUCUAAAGAAUUGCCACUUCUAGGGUUAGUUUGUUGAGCAACCUCAAGAAUCUAAGUUAUCUUGGCCAGGUGUGGUGGCUCAUGCCUGUAAUUCCAGCACUUUGGGAGGUUGCGGCAGGUGGAUCACCUGAGGUCAGGAGUUCGAGACCAGCCUGGCCAACGUGGUGAAACCCUGUCUCUAUUAAAAAUACAAAAAUUAGCCAGGCAUGGUGGCAGGCGCCUAUAAUCCCGGCUGCUCGGGAGGCUGAGGCAGGAGGAUGGCUUGAAUGCAGGAGGCAGGGGUUGCCGUGAGCCGACAUCACACCAUUGCACUCCACCUUGGGCGACAAGAGUGAAACUCCAUCUCAAAAAAAAAAAAAAGAAUCAGGAAUCUAGUUAUUUUUAAAAUCUAAUGGUCAAUCUAUUAGACUGUCCUCCUCAGGCUCGCUUUCUUGUGUAGAUAGCCUUGGCAGUUUUAGACUCCAGUCAUGUUGGACAGAUCGUCUGGGAGAAGAGGGACCAUCUGUUCCUUAUGUCCCUUUUCCCUUUCAGCUUUUUAUUUUGAAAAGUUUCAUACCUACUGAUACUCUGGAAAAAUUGUGCAAUUGAACAUAUACCCUUCAUGUAGAUUUUCUCAUUAUUACCAUUUUAUUACAUUUGCUCACUCACAUUCUUUAUGUGAUUUUUUUUUUGCUAGACCAUUUGAAAAUUUGAAAAGUAAGCUACAGAUGUUUUGACACUUCAUCUCUAAAUACUUUAGCAUGUACCUCUUCAAAACAAGAACAUUGUCUUACAUAAGCACAGUAUCAUUACAUGCAAGAAGUUUAAUAUUAGUAAAUAACAUAUACUUUAUAAUCUUUAUUCAAGCUUCCUCAACUUUUUUGCAUUUUGGCAAGUGGUGGUUCUGGUAAGAUGUCUAGAGUUCAAUUCAGGAUCAUGCAUUGAAUUUAAUUGCCUUGUCUCUUUAUAUUCCUUAAUCUAGAACAGAUCCAGUCGUUACAUUGACAUUUUUCGAUGAGUCUUAAUAGAAUGUUUCACAAUUUGUUUUCUCACCAUUUUUUUUGGAGAGACAAGAGUCUCACUCUGUCGCCCAGGCUGGAGUGCAGUGGCGUGACCUCAGCUCGCUGCAACCUCUGCCUCCCGGGUUCAAAUGAGUCUCCUGCUUCAGCUGCCCAAGCAGCUGGGACUACAGGUGUGUGCCAUUAUGCCUAGCUAAUUUUUGUAAUUUUUAGUAGAUAAUGGGAUUUCACUAUGUGUUGGCCAGGUUGGUGUCGAACUCCUGACCACAGCUGAUCUGCCCGCCUUGGUGGUAAUGUCUUUCUCAAUUCAUCCAGUAGGAGCUGCUUAAUGUCCUUUUGUUCUAUUUUUGGAGAUAAUAAAUUUGAGCUUUUUGGUAGGAUAUAGCCUGCCAUAUUUCUUCAUUGAAAGUACUCUUCCCCUUUGUAAUUAAUAAAUAAUAAUGAGGUCCAAAUCCUGUGAUAAAGCCAAGGAUGUAUAAGCACAGAAGCUUUUGCUUUGGUGAUUGCAGACGUUUAUUUUUGCUUUAAUGAAUACAACUGUUUUUGAAAAUAGUUUUUGUAGAGUGUUUGUUUUUGUAUUUUGAGGUGGGGUCUCAUUCUGCCACCCAGGCUGGGAUGCAUUUCUGCUCAUUGCAACCUCCACUUCUGGGCUCAAGCAAUCCUCCCACCUCAGCCUCCUGAGUAGCUGGGACUACAGGGGUGUGCCACCACGCCUGGCUAAUUUUUUGGGAAAAAAAAAUUUUUUUUUUCAUUUUUUGUAGAGAUGGGGUGUACACCAUGUUGCCCAGGGUGGUCUCAAACUCCUGAGCUCAAGUGAACUGCCUGCUUUGGCCUCCCAAAAUGCUGGGGUUACAGUGCUGGGAGCCACUGUGCACAGCCUGAAAAUAGUUUUUAAAUAAGUAAAAAUGAACAAAUUAUUCAACAGAUGAACAAAUAUUUCAACAAAUUAUGUAAUCAUUUUAACACCCUCUUUCUCUUUCAAGAAUGUUUCAGUUUGGGCUGGGUGUGGUGGCUCAUGCCUGUAAUCCCAGCACUUUGGGAGGCUGAAGUGGGAGGAUCUCUUGAAGCCAGGAGUCGGAGACCAGUGUAGUCAACCUAGCAAGACUCCUGUCUCCACACAUGUGCGCACACACUCACUGUCUUAGCUGGGUAUGGUGGUGUGUACCUGUAAUCCCAGCCACUCAGGAGGCUGAGGCAGGAGGAUCUCUUCAGCCCAGGAGUUAGAGGCUGCAGUGAGCUCUGAUCGCGCCACUGCAGGCUCUGUAGCCUGGGUGACAGAGCAAGACGCUGGCUCUUUAAAAGAGUGUUUCAGUUUGGAUAAUAAGUCACAUGGUCAUUCCAGCCAUUAGGCAUUCUCAGUUUUUCAUUGUGCCCAUAGUGAGUAUUCAGUGUGUUUGUUGACUGACCAAACAGCAGUGCUUGUUAAAAACAUGACUCUAAGAAGAAAGAAAAAAAGAAAAAGAAAAAAAAAACAUGACCCAGGUAGAAUCAUUCUUUGUGCAUUUUCAUGUGCCUUUAUUAGCUGUAUCUCUAAUGCCAUGUUCCUUGUGUUUUUCUGGAUUGUUUUCUCCAGUAUGGCUAUAUAUAUUUAAUAUAAUUUUUUACAGCCCUCUAAGUUGUAUUUUAUGGUUGAUAAGUUGGAAAUGGUCAACACUUUCAUUUGGCACUUCCCUGUUUGCAAGCUUUUGUUUUCAACAACUACAGUUUGCCAAAGACUUCAAAACCUGAAGGUUUUUUUUUUGUGGCACUUCAGUUUAUUGAAUACUUUGAUUGAAUAUUUCCAACUGAUUAGAAAAUAUUUAAUGAUUUUAAAAAACAUUCAACCAAAAAUCAGAAGACUCAUUUAUAAAACUUGAUACCAUUGUAGGACACUUAAGUUGAUUUAUGAAGUAGUUCUUCAAAGGCUCAAACAUUUCCAAAAAUAUCAUUGACAUGUAACAGAAAUCACAUGCUGUCAUUUAUAUGUAUUUAAUAUGUAAAUUGUCAUCUUGAUCACAGAUUUUAUAGUUCAGUUACUAUGUAUAUUUGUACAUUUCCACAUCUACAGCGUAUCUUUCAGUUGGUAAAAUAUUAUAGUCUUUUUGCAUAUAGUUAUGAGUAAUGUAUACUCCAUAAUCAUUUCAAGUAUAUUUUUUGUUUUAUCCUUUUUUUGUUUUAGCUUAGUGGGAAUAUUGUUUUUACCAUGACAGUCUACUUAACCAAUAUUUGUAUUCUCAUCAUCACUAAAACAAAAAUUUUAUCUUCAGUGUUACAUGUUUUUAAACAAUUCACAACAUACACAGUAAUAUGAGAUGUUUUACUUUGAACAGAGUUAACUUUCAAAAGCUUUAUUUUGAUUCCAUGAAUUGGAUGAAAGAAAUCAAGCAGUUAAUGUGAUGAUGGUUUUUCUAUGGAAGAGGUCUCAUGAUAGUGAUAAACUUGCAUCAGUUGUCUCUGGGAAUUUCUGCUAGUGAAGCCAACAUGAACAAUUACCGAUUUUUUUUUCCAGUGGACAAGAAAACUUGGAAUUGAAAAAAAAAGAUUAAUUUAGAAGAACAGUCAUUGGAUCUAAUUACAAGUUAUGUUUCAUAGAAUGUUUUGUAAAGGCAUCUUUUACAGCUGCAUGUAUUGUCAUUUUCAGACACAAUUUUACAAUAACUGCUUAUUGCCUUUGAAUUAAAUGUUGAUUGUAUUAGUCUGUUCUCAUGCUGCUAUGAAGAAAUACCAGAGACUGGGUAAUUUAUAAAGAAAAGAGGUUUGAUUGACUCACAGUUCCUCAUGGCUGGGGAGGCCUCAGGAAACUUACAGUCAUGGUGGAAGGCAGGGCGGCAGGAGAGAGAAUGAGAGGAGCGAAGCCCCUUACAAAACCAUCAGAUCUUGUGAGAACUCGCUAUCAUGAGAACAGCAUGGAGGUAACCACCCCUGUGUUUCAAUUACCUCCCACCGGGUCCUUCCCAUGACACUUGGGGAUUAUGGGAACUACAGUUCAAGAUGACAUUUGGGUGGGGACACAGCAAAACCAUGCCAUCAAUUUUUUUUUUUUUUUUUUUUUUUGAUACGGAGUCUCACUCUGUCACCCAGGCUGAAGUGCGGUGGCACAAUCUCGGCUCACUGCAGCCUCCACCUCCCAGGUUCAAGUGAUUCUUCUGCCUCAGCCUCUUGAGUAGCUGGGACUACAGGCACAUGCCACCACGCCAGGCUAAUUUUUGUAUUUUAGUAGAGAUGGGGUUUAUCCACAUUGGCCAGGCUGGUCUCGAACUCCUGACCUCAAGUGAUCCACCUGCCUCAGCCUCCCAAAGUGCUGGGAUUAUAGGUGUGAGCCACCAUGCCGCUCUAUUUUUUGUAUUUUUUGUAGAGACGGGGUCUCCCUAUGUUGCCCAAGCAGGUCUCAAACUCCUGGGCUCAAGUGAUCCUCCUGCCGUGGCCUUCCAAAGUGCUAGGUUUACAAGUGUGGACCACCUCACCUAGCCAAAUGUUGAUGCUUCUUCAGAUUUGCUGCUUGAAGUCAUUGUUACCACUUUAAAUAUAUACUUGAGUGCAUUGCUAUCUAAAGGGCUUAUUUAAAAAUACAUAGAUUAGUUGUAGAUAUACACUGUGUAACAAUGAAAAGGUCAUUGUAGCAAAAGGGGUUUAUACUGUAUCUGCAUACUCUAUGAAAGGACCACUCAUACACAUUUCCUAUGUACAUAUUUUUUCCAUGUUUCCUACUGAUCUCACUGACAGUAUUUUGAUGGCUUCUUGUUGGCUGAGGAACUGGCCAUGGCACAGAUGAUGGAUGGGGGCAACAGCCUUGAAUAUUCUCCUUCCAGCAACUGUCAACACCUGAAGGAGGGAGUUAGCUGCCUGUUACCAUACUUGAUAUUGACUUGGUGUCCUAAAAAGGAAAAUGUCAAUUGUUUCAAAUUUGUAAAGGGUUAAGAAAAGAGGCAGACUACCACUAGUCAUCUUGUUAGAUUUAAUCAUGUGUUAAAAUGUGAUAGCUGUUUACAAUGCACAUCUCACAUGACUACUGUGUAAGACCUUGUCAGAAGUUAGAAACACCAAUUCAAUGUCUGUGAAACCAUCAAUACUUAUUUUGAUGCAACUUUGUUAAAAAUGUAAAGUCUAAGACAGUAGAUUUGUACACGAUGUUUGGAAACACCAAUCAUAAAUGAAGACUUGAGGUCAAACAGACUUAUGGUCACCAUACUUGCAGCAGAAUUUGCUGGGGGGUUGAUAUAUGUUCAUCAAGUAAACAGAAACAUCAAACCAGAGUAGUUCUCUAGUUAGUAAAAUGAGAAUAAACAGGUUAUUAAUUAAUCUAUUUCAGAGGAUGGUCAGGUGGCCUAGAGAAUGCUGUCCUGGGGAAAUGACAUUUAUACUGCUACAUGAGAUAUGAUUAGAAGUUAGGUAGAAGAACAUCAUUCCAGGCAGAGGAAGUGGGCACAAAAAGGUCCUUAGUAAAGGAGCUUUUUGAGUUCAAAGAACUGAAAGAUGAUGUGUGUUGCAAAUGUGACUUGUGAGGCUAGCAGAAGCAAUAGAUGUUGAAGACGUGGGUUUGAGCCAGAUUGUGCAGAGCCUGGUAGUCCAUGCUAAGGAUUCGAAUUCCAUGGAAGGUUUGAGCAGGGAUGUGACAUGGUUAGAUUCAAUUUUUAAAAGAUGGUUGGCCCAGAAAAUGUGGAAAAUGGAUUGGAGUUGGAAUUUUCUAAUUAAAGACUUAUCAAAGAUGUGUUUAAACUCUUACUGUAUACUAUUUAAUCUUUAAGGAUUAUGAGCGAUUAUAUGUGAAAAUACCUGUCAGUGACUGUGACAGUGAGCCUUUAAUUUUUUUUUUGAGGUGAUCUUUUUAGUGCCAAAUACAUCAGACAAUCCUGAGCCAAGAGACAGAGUUCUGAUCAUAGUUAAUUUGGUUUGUGAGCUUGAGCAAGUCAUUUAAACUCUGAGCCUCUUUCUUUAUCUGUAAAUUGGGCGUGUUUGAGAAAUGUGUGCUUAACUUUAAUUGUGUUAAUCGCUUAACUCUGGUUAACAUAUGGGCUGAGUCUUGCUGAGUCAUUUCCUCAGACGUUGUGGGCAAGGCUUAAAACCAGCUAAGCAAAUUUAGUGAUGACACAUUUUACCUCUUCUGUAGAAGUCAGAUGAAAGAGCUGUUUCAAAAAUGUUUCACUUAUUGUUUUCAUGCAGAUUAUCUCUUCGUGGGGGAGAGAAUACAGUACACAUAGCUCAGGAACUACUGAUGCACUGCCUUCCAUUUUAGUGGCAGUUUGAAUUUAAGAAUUUCUAGUUUGUCUUAAGCUUUUCUGUAAUCUCUCACAUAUAUAUUCUUAAUUUCAACUGAUAAUUUCUUUCUUAAUGUCUAAUAUAGCCUAUUUGCCCUCUGAACAGCAUUGAGAUGCUUUGAAAUUUUAAUGCCCAAAAAGUUGGCUUUGGUAAGGUGGUUUUCAUUUCUGCAGUAGAACCAUGGUUGAGGCUAAUGGUCCCAUCAGCAUUAGCAGGCCUUUGGCUAGUUGCACAGUAAACUGCAUGUUUCCCACUAGUAAAAGAGAUAACCCCAACAGUUUUAGGAUUAAUGCUGAGUUGUAGUGUUCUUUGGGAUUUACAGAUUUUUUUCUAUAAUUUAAACUUUUUGAGACAUAUCCUGAGGAUAAUAGAAGGGCAUUUAAAAAAACUUCAACUGGCUGGGCUUGGUGGCUCACACCUGUAAUCCCAGCACUGUGGGAGGAUCACAAGGUCAGGAGUUUGAGACCAGCCUGGCCAAUGUGGUGAAACCCUGUCUCUACUAAAAAUACAAAAAUUAGCUGGGCAUGGUGGUGGGCGCCUGUAAUCCCAGCAACUUGGGAGGCUGAGGCAGGAGAAUCACUUGAACCCAGGAAGUGGAGGUUGCAGUGAGCCCAGAUCGCACCACUGCACUCCAGUCUGGGCGGCAGAGCGAGACUCUGCCCCCCUACCCCCCAAAAAAAAAGAAAAAAGGAAAAACAACUACUCAGAUACUUUUUUUUUUGAGAUGGGGUCUCACUCUGUUGCCCCGGCUGGAGAGCAGUGGCAUGAUCUCAUCUCACUGCAGCCUUCACCUCUCAGGUUUAAGUGAUUCUUCUGCCUCAGCCUCCCAAGUAGCUGGGACUACAGGCACGUGCCACCAUGCCCCACUAAUUUUUGUGUUUUUAAUAGAGAUGAGGUUUCGCCAUGGUUGGCCAGGCUGCUCUCGAGCUCCUGACCUCAAGUGAUCUGCCCUCCCCGGCUUCCCAAAGUGCUGGGAUUACAGGCGUGAGCCAUCGCACCUGGCCUCCGAUACUUUUGACAAUAAUCUUGGUUUGGGGGAGGUGUGUGUGUGUCAGUCUUAGAUUUAUAUUCACUCUGCAUUGUGUUAUAUUGAGCUAUAAUGGAUGUGCAGCUACACGAAUUCUUCUAGAGAUCCUUGGACUUGAAAUUAUGCGUCCUUGGCUUUAUCACAGGAUGUGGCCUUCUUGGCCUCAGUUUUUCAGAGUAGAGAAUUUGCUUUUGGCUUUUCUAGGACGUGUGCAGAUGAGAACUUGCUACAGGCAGAUAUGCUUGAGAGCUCAAAAGGAAAUGGUGGGAAAAGACUAGAUUAAAUCAAGUAGUUGUGUGAUUUCAGUGAAGUAGUAUUAAAUCUGGUUUUAUCUGUUUUUCACCUGUUUUAAAACAUAGGUACAUUUUCACAGUCACUUAAAGUGACUAUCUUUUUGAACCUCAAGGAUUUUUUUAUUCUCGGAAUUGAGUUUUGUUCGUUUCAUCAUACUUAAAAUAGUUUAAGAAAAAUUUUAGAGUACUGUUUUCCUUCUUGUGAACCUUGUACAAUAUUAUGAAGAGGGCAAGCUAUGUAGGUAACUAUUAUCAUUUUACAGGUAAGGAAGCAGAGUUUAAUGACCUGCCCUUGAUAAUAUGACAAAUAUAUCAGAGCCAAAUCUUAAACAUAGCGAUGGAAAGCUUUGUAAUUAUAGAAACAUUUGGAUUUGUCUUUUGGUUCCACCUAAAUUUUCUUACAGUUUAAAAAAUGUCUUUUAAGAUUAUUGCAAGGAGCAAAUGAAUACAUAAUAGAAGCAUCCCAUUGUAUGGCAUGUAAAUUCUCACCAAAUGUAAUUGUUUCUCAGUGGUUUUCAACAUGUGGAUCCCCACUGACCACCACCUAGGGAGUUUUUUUGACCAGAAGGUCAAAACUUUUCAUAAUAAUUCUAAGACAUUUGCCUUUUUCACUAUGUUGAUGCUUGUACUGAUGGUACAGAAGCAAUGGUAUGUAAAAUUGCUGACCUUAGCAUGAAUCAAGACAAUGGAACCAAGCUGGACUAGUAGUCAUUGUAUUUACCACCAUGUACUCACAAGAGAAAACUAAAAUAAUUUUCCUCAAGAAUAUCCUUGAUGAAGUAGAAUUAAUUUUUGUUAAAUCUUGACCUUUGAGCAUAUAUCUUUUUGGUGUAUGAUGAAAUGGGAGGUAAAUAUAAAGCACUUCUGCCUCGUUUUGAGACAGUGAUGGUUGUCUCAAGCAAAGGCACUUGUGAAAUUGUUUGGAUUGGCCACCAUUUUUAUAGAACAUCAUUUAUCCUUGAAAGAACAACUGGCAAACUAUGGUUAUUCAGACUUGAGUCCUUGGCAGAUACUGUCUUGAAUGAAUGAAGUGACAGUAUUUGUUGCCACUGAUAAAAUUUAUGCUUUUAAGAUUGGAAUUUUGGCCAGGCGCGGUGGCCCACUCCUGUAAUCCCAACACUUUGGGAGGCCAAGGCGGGUGGAUCGCCUGAGGUCAGGAGUUCAAGACCAGCAUGGCCAACAUGGUGAAACCCCAUCUCUACUAAAAAUACAAAAAUUAGCCAGACAUGAUGGUGGGCACCUGUAAUCCCAGCUACUUGGGAGACUGAGGCAGGAGAAUUGCUUGAACCUGGGAGGCAGAGGUUGCGGUGAGCCAAGAUGGCACCACUGCAACUCCAGCCUGGGUGACAGAGUGAGACUUCAUCUCAAAAAAAAAAAAAAGGAAGUUUGGAAUUUUGAGCCAGUCAAGGUCACUCUUGCCUGUAAUUCCAGCUACCCAAGAGGCUGAAGCGGGAGGAUUGUUUGAGCCUGGGAGUUUGAGCCUGAAGUGAGCUGUGAUUACACUACUGCACUACAGCCUGGGUGACAGAGCAAGACUCAGUCUCUUAAAAAAAUAAAUAAAUAAAAUAUAUUUGGAAAACUUGUGUCUGCUGCUGUGAGUGUGACAGCUUUUCUGUACAUACUCUCUUGAUGAGGUCCAUGGUGAUAAUAUUAUUUUUUUCAUAUUGUAUAAUGAAAUACGCCAACAUUUGGAAGAACUGUGUUAAUGAACUAUUAAUUUCCAAAUGACCAAUACAUGCUGUUAUAAAAUUGCGCAGAUAAAAAGACCUAUUCAGAGUGCAAAGUAACUGAUGGAUUUUAAUAUAAUAGAACAUGGCUGGGUGCGGUGGCUCACGCCUGUAAUCCCAGCACUUUGGGAGGCCGAGGCGGCUGGAUCAUGAGAUCAAGAGAUUGAGACCAUCCUGGCCAACAUGGUGAAACUGGUCUCUACUAAAAAUACAAAAAUUAGCUGGGCAUGGUGGCACCCACCUGUAUUCUCAGCUACUCGGGAGGCUGAGGCAGGAAAAUCACUUGAACACGGGAGGUGGGGGUUGCAGUGAGCUGAGAUCAAAUUACUGCAUUCCAGCCUGGCGACAGAGUGAGACUCCAUCUAAAAAAUACAUAUAUAAUAAUAAUAAUAAAAAUAAUAAUAGAACAUGAAAACACCAUUGACAGGGUUUCAGAUUCUACCUUGCAACUAAUGUUUAAGAAAUUACUGCUUGUUCCUUGUGACUCAUGCAAAAAAAGAAGAAAAAAAGAAAUUACUUGCUGAGCUUUGUAGUGUUGAAGAAUAAUGUUUAGGAUUAUCUGAAUAGGUUCUUAAAAUACUCCUCCCUUUUCUAGCAACAUAUCUGUUUGUAGCUAGAUUUUCUUCAUAUACUUCAUAUUCUUUGUAUGCUUCAUCAGCCAAAACAGCAUAUUACAAUAAAUUGGAUGCAGAAGCAGGUAUAAUCCAAGUGUUAUCUAUUAAGCUAAACAUUAAAGUUGCAGUUUUGUUUUGGAAAAUAUAGUAAUUUUUAACAAAAUGUCAUUUAUGUUAACAUGGAUUGGAUUUAUUUUAAAUUGCAUUAAAUACUUAAAUUGUUUUCUUAGUUUUAAUUUGUAAUAUGGUAAAUAUGAAUUUAUAGAACCUACACAAAAGUUUGUUGAGAUCCUCAGGAACUUGAGGAGUGUAAAGGAGUUUGCAGAACAAAAAAUUUGAGAAGCAUUGGUGUACUUCUUUCAUUGCUUCUAUGUAAUAGAUUUGAUCCAAGUUUCAGUGAUGAGAUUUAUCUCAAGCUUAUCUCUUAAGCUUGAGAGAGUAAGAGAUUUGGUGUGUAUUGGUAGUUAGUGUCCCAUCAGAAAAACAGGAACCACUUCAGGUUUGAUUUGGGAAUAGUGUUGUUGAUUUUAAAAGUAGAGAAGGAUUUAAUGCAGGAAUUGUUUCAAAAGUGAUGGAAGGGCUAGAGGAACAAAUGGGAGAAGGGGCUAUUAACCAGAGAUCAGCAAACUGCUGUUUUGUCUGGACUGGAUCUCCCUAAACCUGUACUUGUUGCUGAGCUGCUAGAGGUAUCCCUUUGCUGAUUAAGCAAGAACUGUUCUCGUUGUUACUACUGGUAAAACUAUUGGGCUAUUGCCAUUGUACUGGGCUUCCCACCAUUGUGUUGCCUAUGAGCUCAAGCCACAGCCACUGACUAUGUUGUAGCUGUCACCAGGAUCAGAUGGAUUUUCCUUUUGUCCUACUUUUUAGUUUUCUGCCAGUUCCUUUCAUUGGCAGAACCUACCCAGAACUCAGCUUGCAAGGGAGUCUGGGAAAUGUAGUUUGUAGGCUUUCAGAGCUUGGCAGCAUAGAUAAGAAAACAGAAGAGUAAAUACAGUGCUAAGAGCAUCAGAUAGUUACAGUCAGCUAUGAACACUGCAUAAAUAAGAAAGGACUCCACAGUUACCUUCCAAUUCCUAGUCUGGUUGCCAUAUUACACUGUAGUAAAGGGAGGAAAAAGUACAGAAGGGAAUGAUUCGAGCUCAAGUGUUAUGAAGAAAACUAAAAAUGGAUGUAGAUAAGAUUUGACUGAAUAGAAUCGGAGGGUUUCUAGGCAGUUAGUUGAUCAAUAUAAAUAAAGGGAGAUUACAAUGGGUACAUUGAUUACAGUUUAGAGGAUGUUAUAUAUUUUAGAGCAAUGAGAAAUCAGGUUGAAUAUGUAGACCAGGGGCAGUUUAUGUGGAGUGCUGUGAAAAACUGGCAACGGAAUUUGGACUUUGUCUAGUAGAAACGUCAGCAAGAUUGACAUGAUGAAAGGCAUCUUAUAUUAAGAUCAGAAUGAUGAGAAAAUGCAGGAUGAUACAGAAGAGGAGACAGUAUCAGGAAGAUUGCCUUGGAGGUCAUUGGUAAUCUGAGCCUGAGAUGAUGGUAUGGUAGUGGAGAAAAGACCCUUACAAAGAGUAUUUUGAAUGAAACAGAUUUGAGAACUUUCUAGAUUAUAAAUGGUGGAAUGAAGGCAAAUUAGAGAUGACUUAAAAUAUUUUAAACAGCUUAUCUCUAAUCAAAUUGUAUAGUUGGGAUUGGAAGCAAGUGAUUGUGGAAUUGAGGGCCUAGAAACGGUGAGAAGUGUACUUUUAAAGUAUUUUAUUUUUUUAAUUUUAAUAUUUUAUUUUUUUGAGAUGGAGAUUCACUCUUGUCGCUCAGGCUGGAGUGCAGUGGCAUGAUCUUGGCUCACUGCAACCUCUGCCUUCUGCGUUCAAGCAGUUCUCCUGCCUCAGCCUCCCGAGUAGCUGGGAUUACAGGCAUCUGCCACCACGCCCAGCUAAUUUUUGUAUUUUUGGUAGAGAUGGGGUUUUACCAUGUUAGCCAGGCUAGUCUCAAACUCCUGACCUCAGGUGAUCCACCCGCCUUGGUCUCCCAAAGUGCUGGGAUUACAGGCGUGAGCCACUGCACCUGGCCUUUAAAUGUUGAAAAAAGUGAGAAGGAGCAUUCAUAGUUAAGAGCAUGGGAUCUGGAGUCGAACUCAUGUCACUUAUUAACCUCGUGUGCCUGAAUAAGUUACUUAACUUCCUUCUGCCUUCGUUUUUCUCAUCUAUAACACUCCUUAAGAGCUGUUAUGAGGAUCGAACGAGUAAAUGCUUGUAAAAUGCUUGGAACGGGUCUGGCAUAUAGUAAGCACUAUAAAUGUUAAUAAAAACAGUAAUAAAAGCCAAGGACUUUUGGGAGGGACAGAAACUUGGGAAAGGUCGAAGUUCUUCUCUCACAUUUCUUGGGAGUAGAAAAUAAGAUUAAUUGGUAGCUCUUGGAGAGACUGGACUGGUUCUAAAUUUUGGAGCAGCUAGAUGGAGUAUUAUCAGAGUACAGGCUUCCUGGAGAGCAAAAUACAAAAGAUGCCAAGGAGCAAAACUGAAUCUCGAAAGAUAAAUGAAGUUUACCAGGAAAAGAAAACUGGGAUGAGGAGAGGAUUUACGAAGUAGCAUAUGCUAAACGAGAGACAUGAGAAAACAUGAUGAUCAGGGAUGUCAUGUAGACUGAAGACUUUGAUACUAAGAGGCAUUUUCACAAUUUUAUCCUGAAAGCAUAGAGAAAACAAAUCAACUUGUCAUUUUCAAAAACUUACCCUGGCUGUAAUCUCAAUAAAAGGACAUCUUUUAAAGUCAA
Molecule: long non-coding RNA, 14910 nt
Organism: Homo sapiens (human)
Lineage: Eukaryota; Metazoa; Chordata; Mammalia; Primates; Hominidae
Exons: 2
Source: RefSeq, a predicted model, not a curated record